CGAACUGGCGGCGCGUCUUAAGCAUGCAAGUCGAACGGUAAGAAGGCUUGCUUUCCUAGAGUGGCGGACUGGUGAGUAACGCGUGGAUGCGUACCCUUUUGACGGGGUAGCCGAUAGAAAUAUCAGUAAUACCGGAUAAUCUCUUUGGGGUAAAGCGAAAGAGGAAAGCAGCUUCGGCUGCGCAGGAGGAUGGUCCGCGUCCUAUCGCUAUCGGCAGGGUAAAGGCCUCCGAGCGACGACGGGUCCGGCCUGAGAGGGUGGACGGACACAUUGGGACUGAGUACGGCCCGACUCCUACGGGAGGCAGCAGCUAAGAUAUCCGCAUGGACGAAAGUCUGACGGACGACCCGCGUGACGAUGAAGGCCGGAAGGUUUAAAGUCCUUUACCGUGAAGAGAAGCGUAAGAGGAAAUGCUUGCGUGGUGACGGUAGCGGAUGAAUAUACACCGGCUAA
This 453-nucleotide ribosomal RNA is filed under the name Treponema sp. oral taxon 265. RNAcentral describes it as "bacterial SSU rRNA". It matches the Rfam family "Bacterial small subunit ribosomal RNA", at positions 36 to 500 of the family's 1533-position model. The record is from RNAcentral. Lineage: Bacteria; Pseudomonadati; Spirochaetota; Spirochaetia; Treponematales; Treponemataceae.